This 253-nucleotide ribosomal RNA is filed under the name uncultured bacterium. RNAcentral describes it as "partial 16S ribosomal RNA". It matches the Rfam family "Bacterial small subunit ribosomal RNA", at positions 524 to 776 of the family's 1533-position model. The record is from RNAcentral.
UACGGGGGGAGCAAGCGUUGUUCGGAUUACUGGGCGUAAAGGGCGCGUAGGCGGUCGUCGACAAGUCACUUGUGAAAUCUCCGGGCUUAACUCGGAACGGUCAAGUGAUACUGUCGGACUAGAGUACAGAAGGGGCAACUGGAAUUCUCGGUGUAGCGGUGAAAUGCGUAGAUAUCAAGAGGAACACCUGAGGUGAAGACGGGUUGCUGGGCUGACACUGACGCUGAGGCGCGAAAGCCAGGGAGCAAACGGG